UACGUAGGGCGCAAGCGUUGUCCGGAAUUAUUGGGCGUAAAGAGCUCGUAGGCGGUUCGUCACGUCUGCUGUGAAAGCCCGAGGCUCAACCUCGGGUCUGCAGUGGGUACGGGCGAACUAGAGUGUGGUAGGGGAGACUGGAAUUCCUGGUGUAGCGGUGGAAUGCGCAGAUAUCAGGAGGAACACCAAUGGCGAAGGCAGGUCUCUGGGCCACAACUGACGCUGAGGAGCGAAAGCGUGGGGAGCGAAC
This 250-nucleotide ribosomal RNA is filed under the name uncultured bacterium. RNAcentral's name for it is "partial 16S ribosomal RNA". It matches the Rfam family "Bacterial small subunit ribosomal RNA", at positions 524 to 773 of the family's 1533-position model. The record is from RNAcentral.